UACGUAGGGUGCGAGCGUUAAUCGGAAUUACUGGGCGUAAAGUGUGCGCAGGCGGCCGCGCAAGUCGAGUGUGAAAUCUCCUGGCUCAACUGGGAGCUUGCAGGCGAAACUGCCGUGCUGGAGUGUGGGAGAGGUGCGUGGAAUUCCCGGUGUAGCGGUGAAAUGCGUAGAUAUCAGGAGGAACACCUGUGGCGAAAGCGGCGCACUGGACCACAACUGACGCUGAGGCGCGAAAGCUAGGGGAGCAAACAGG
RNAcentral lists this ribosomal RNA (253 nucleotides) under uncultured bacterium. RNAcentral describes it as "partial 16S ribosomal RNA". It matches the Rfam family "Bacterial small subunit ribosomal RNA", at positions 524 to 776 of the family's 1533-position model. The record is from RNAcentral.